GUAGUCUCGCACAGACUGCAUAUCAAUAAGCGGAGGAAAAGAAACUAACAAGGAUUCCCUUAGUAACGGCGAGUGAAGCGGGAAGAGCUCAAAUUUGAAAUCUUCAAGGUUUUACCUUGACGAAUUGUAGUUUAAAGAAGUGUUUUCUGUUGAAGUUUUGGUAAAAGUUCUUUGGAAUAGGACAUCAUAGAGGGUGAGAAUCCCGUAUUUGACCAUUAUUUUCAGCUGUGUGAUACACUUUCAAAGAGUCGGAUUGUUUGGGAAUGCAGUCCAAAAUGGGUGGUAAAUUUCAUCUAAAGCUAAAUAUUGGCGAGAGACCGAUAGCGAACAAGUACCGUGAGGGAAAGAUGAAAAGAACUUUGAAAAGAGAGUUAAACAGUACGUGAAAUUGUCAAAAGGGAAGCGUUUGACACCAGUGUUGUUUUCUCGAAAAUCAAUUAAAAAGAGUUAGAUUUUGUUGUGUAUUGACCUUAACAGCUUGCAUUUCAAUUUUCUUGCUUUUUUUAAUGCACUUUUCGUUUAACAAGUCAACAUCAGUUUCUUUUGUUGUAAAAAGGUCAUUGGAAGGUGGCUUUCUUUUCGGAGAAAGUGUUUAUAGCCUUUGACUCCUGCAAUCGGAGAGACUGAGGUCUGCAGCGUAGAUCCUUCGGGGUUAGAUACAUUUGUGCUAAGUUAUAGCUUUUUAUAGACAACUUGUUGACUAUGAUUAGUCUUGUAGCUUACUCGCUUAUGCUAUUUUACCUACGCUUAGGAUGUUGAGCGCAUGUCUCUCUCU
RNAcentral lists this ribosomal RNA (775 nucleotides) under uncultured Neocallimastigales. RNAcentral describes it as "partial large subunit ribosomal RNA". It matches the Rfam family "Eukaryotic large subunit ribosomal RNA", at positions 24 to 616 of the family's 3401-position model. Lineage: Eukaryota; Fungi; Neocallimastigomycota; Neocallimastigomycetes; Neocallimastigales. The record is from RNAcentral.